Molecule: non-coding RNA, 236 nt
Filed under: Enterococcus villorum
Lineage: Bacteria; Bacillati; Bacillota; Bacilli; Lactobacillales; Enterococcaceae
Description: T-box sequence
Rfam family: T-box leader
About the family: Uncharged tRNA acts as the effector for transcription antitermination of genes in the T-box leader family. T-boxes are found upstream of many aminoacyl-tRNA synthetase genes and some amino acid biosynthetic genes usually in Gram-positive bacteria.
Source: RNAcentral
AACGUAACGUUGAACAAGAGGAGUAACUAGUGCUUGACUGAUAGAGAGAGAACGAAUGGUGGAACGUUCUUAGGAGAGGCUGGUGAAGGUAGCUUGGGAGUUUUUAUCUUGAACCCUUAUUUGAAGCAUCUGGCUGGGGCUAGGGGUAAACGAGUCGUGAUCGUUAACUCACUGAAAGUGGUAAUAGGAAACUAUUACAAAUUAGGUGGUACCGCGUAAACUAAUACGUCCUAAAA